CGCCCCACUUCUCAACCGUUCCCGCCUAAAACCUUUAGGCGCCUUAUUGCCGACUCCUGGUGUACCACUUGUCCUUAUUGGCUCAUACGUGGGUUAAGUCGGCAUGUUAAUUUCAAUUUUGGCAUCAACACCUGGUUAUUAGUAUUUCAAAACGAGUUUCCGGAUAGGAAACAUUUUAACUGAUAGAUGUGGAUUUAUGGAUAUUUGUGAUGAACUGACUGUGGAUGUGAAUGGUGUAUGGAUAUGUGGAUGUUCAUAUGUGGUUGUUGUAUCUUGUAUUGUGUAUCUUGUACUUGAGCGACACCGUGUAAAUACAGGAGAGACUCUGUCUAUGUGUACAGUAGACUCCCUAUAUUUGUGGUGGAUCUGGCAUACCUUAUGGGUUAGAAUUUUUUUUUAAAAAAAAUUUGGGCACUUCUGCAUUGAAUUUAUAUUAAAAAGGGACCCCGGGGCGUGACAGCUAUAUUGACGCAUCAAGAAUUGUAGAAGGCACUGUUGGGAAAAGAAGAGAUUUGACAGCCGAGCAGAAGGAGUAAAUUGAUAAUAAAGCUCUUACGGCAAUACAAUUAUAUUUAUUUGAUGAGGU
Molecule: long non-coding RNA, 586 nt
Filed under: Ananas comosus (pineapple)
Lineage: Eukaryota; Viridiplantae; Streptophyta; Magnoliopsida; Poales; Bromeliaceae
Description: long non-coding RNA (ACOM_LNC023534)
Source: RNAcentral